UACGUAGGGUGCAAGCGUUGUCCGGAAUUAUUGGGCGUAAAGAGCUCGUAGGCGGUUUGUCGCGUCGAAUGUGAAAACCCGGGGCUCAACCCCGGGCCUGCAUUCGAUACGGGCAGACUAGAGUGCGGUAGGGGUGACUGGAAUUCCUGGUGUAGCGGUGGAAUGCGCAGAUAUCAGGAGGAACACCGAUGGCGAAGGCAGGUCACUGGGCCGCAACUGACGCUGAGGAGCGAAAGCAUGGGGAGCGAACAGG
RNAcentral lists this ribosomal RNA (253 nucleotides) under uncultured bacterium. RNAcentral describes it as "partial 16S ribosomal RNA". It matches the Rfam family "Bacterial small subunit ribosomal RNA", at positions 524 to 776 of the family's 1533-position model. The record is from RNAcentral.